RNAcentral lists this ribosomal RNA (433 nucleotides) under uncultured bacterium. RNAcentral's name for it is "partial 16S ribosomal RNA". It matches the Rfam family "Bacterial small subunit ribosomal RNA", at positions 29 to 507 of the family's 1533-position model. The record is from RNAcentral.
AACGAACGCUGGCGGCAUGCCUAACACAUGCAAGUCGAAAGAGACCUUCGGGUCUAGUGGCGCACGGGUGCGUAACGCGUGGGAACCUGCCCUUAGGUUCGGAAUAACUCCCCGAAAGGGGUGCUAAUACCGGAUAAUGUCUUCGGACCAAAGAUUUAUCGCCUUUGGAUGGGCCCGCGUUGGAUUAGCUAGUUGGUAGGGUAAAAGCCUACCAAGGCGACGAUCCAUAGCUGGUCUGAGAGGAUGAUCAGCCACACUGGGACUGAGACACGGCCCAGACUCCUACGGGAGGCAGCAGUGGGGAAUAUUGGACAAUGGGCGAAAGCCUGAUCCAGCAAUGCCGCGUGAGUGAUGAAGGCCUUAGGGUUGUAAAGCUCUUUUACCCGGGAUGAUAAUGACAGUACCGGGAGAAUAAGCUCCGGCUAACUCCGUG